RNAcentral lists this ribosomal RNA (367 nucleotides) under uncultured bacterium. RNAcentral's name for it is "bacterial SSU rRNA". It matches the Rfam family "Bacterial small subunit ribosomal RNA", at positions 550 to 916 of the family's 1533-position model. The record is from RNAcentral.
AUUACUGGGCGUAAAGCGCACGCAGGCGGUCUGUCAAGUCGGAUGUGAAAUCCCCGGGCUCAACCUGGGAACUGCAUUCGAAACUGGCAGGCUGGAGUCUUGUAGAGGGGGGUAGAAUUCCAGGUGUAGCGGUGAAAUGCGUAGAGAUCUGGAGGAAUACCGGUGGCGAAGGCGGCCCCCUGGACAAAGACUGACGCUCAGGUGCGAAAGCGUGGGGAGCAAACAGGAUUAGAUACCCUGGUAGUCCACGCUGUAAACGAUGUCGACUUGGAGGUUGUUCCCUUGAGGAGUGGCUUCCGGAGCUAACGCGUUAAGUCGACCGCCUGGGGAGUACGGCCGCAAGGUUAAAACUCAAAGGAAUUGACGG